GAAAUAUUCAAAUCCGUGAAGGCAAAGGUCAUUUUUAAAUAAUCGAGCUUCAUGCGGGGGAAGACGCAAAUACGAAUAAAGUGUUCACCUUGAGCGCUGCAAGGAGAGGAGGUUUAGAAACCAAGACAUGGGACAGGAAAACGAGAGGAAACAGGGAACGAGAAGAGGAACACAGAGAACAAAGGAGAAGAAGAAAAGGGGUAACGGAUGAAGAUGCGAAAGAAAUAAGUUCUGCUGAACUUUAACUCUCAAUUCCAGGACCCUACAACUGGAACUAGUGUCGCUCCCAGCUCAAGACGACUGAAUGGUCGCAGUGUUGGAUUACCACCGUUGGCAAGAAAUUAUGAAAUACUGGAAGGUGGCCUCUAGUAGCAGUGUGUUCAUACCAAAUUUCAUGAAGUUCGUCAACUGAUUAAGGGGGUGGCGUGAAGACGGUCAUAACGGUAUAAUAAAUGCAUCCAUCUUUUCUUAUGAAAUGAGGAAACUAAGUUUAAAAGUUAAACAUUCCACCACACCUUUAUCCGAAAUACAAUCGUAACGAUUUUGCAGUUAUUGAUAAAUCGGACCCUGCGACACUCCUGCUGGCUUACAAAGGUUAUAGCACCUAGAACUUUCACUUGUUAAUCACCCAAUCAGGCUAAAGGUAACAGGCAGACAUGUGUAGAACUAUGGCCUACUCCACUAAUGUUAAACAGACACCCUCCCUGUAACACAGCAAGCUGUACUUGAUUCAGCAAUAUAUGGCUGUGUUAUAAAUCUUAUCCUUCCAGGCGCAUUCGCAAUCCUACGGAGGCCCUAUUAAAAUGAUGUUUGUAAUGGU
Long non-coding RNA from Zootermopsis nevadensis, 820 nucleotides. RefSeq lists it as uncharacterized. NCBI's taxonomy places the organism in Eukaryota, Metazoa, Arthropoda, Insecta, Blattodea, Termopsidae. The record is from RefSeq and is a predicted model, not a curated record.